Long non-coding RNA from Sinocyclocheilus rhinocerous, 434 nucleotides. RefSeq lists it as uncharacterized. Lineage: Eukaryota; Metazoa; Chordata; Actinopteri; Cypriniformes; Cyprinidae. The record is from RefSeq and is a predicted model, not a curated record. The transcript is spliced from 3 exons.
UCAUUUCAAAACACACCGGUCUUCAGGAGCGCGCCAAAGAAGUCUGACGACGCUCAGACUCUGGAUUGAUCUUUUCAGCCAACAAGACAGCUUACCAUGUCAUCAGAGCAAGAACCUCCGUCAGCGAUAUUUGACAGAGUUUUCAAUACAAUUUCAAGAGCCAGACGAGAGCUUUCAAAUAACAAUAAUGAUGACCUACUUUCUUCAACUAGACGCCUUUUCCGGCGUCAGGUGCAUCAACUUCGCAGAACACCGGGGAGGCAGGAAAAUGCUGUCUGGCAGACCCACCUUUUCCUCCUCCCUGGCCCAGAUAUUGAGGUUUUACCCUCUACAACAGAGCUUGAACGGUUUGCAAACUUGGGUUUAGGUAAAUGUAUAGUUGAUACAUAAGGAUGUCAAAGAUAAAACAGGGUUUUUCCUGGGCUAAAAAGAGC